Molecule: ribosomal RNA, 446 nt
Filed under: uncultured bacterium
Lineage: Bacteria
Description: partial 16S ribosomal RNA
Rfam family: Bacterial small subunit ribosomal RNA
Source: RNAcentral
CCUACGGGUGGCAGCAGUCGAGAAUCAUUCACAAUGGGGGAAACCCUGAUGGUGCGACGCCGCGUGGGGGAAUGAAGGUCUUCGGAUUGUAAACCCCUUUCAUGUGGGAGCAAAUUAAGAAGAUAGUACCACAAGAGGAAGAGACGGCUAACUCUGUGCCAGCAGCCGCGGUAAUACAGAGGUCUCAAGCGUUGUUCGGAAUCACUGGGCGUAAAGCGUGCGUAGGCGGUUUCGUAAGUCGUGUGUGAAAGGCGCGGGCUCAACCCGCGGACGGCACAUGAUACUGCGAGACUAGAGUAGUGGAGGGGGAACCGGAAUUCGCGGUGUAGCAGUGAAAUGCGUAGAUAUCGAGAGGAACACUCGUGGCGAAGGCGGGUUCCUGGACAUUAACUGACGCUGAGGCACGAAGGCCAGGGGAGCGAAAGGGAUUAGAUACCCGGGUAGUC